Long non-coding RNA from Meriones unguiculatus (Mongolian gerbil), 1728 nucleotides. RefSeq lists it as uncharacterized. NCBI's taxonomy places the organism in Eukaryota, Metazoa, Chordata, Mammalia, Rodentia, Muridae. The transcript has 3 exons. The record is from RefSeq and is a predicted model, not a curated record.
UUGUCUAUCAAACUAAAGGAAAUAGAAUGAAUGAACAGGACUGCCUGAAGUCUGAGUAAAGAUUCAGGCAAGUAAACAUAAGUUCUGUCUCAUACAGAAAUUGGAAUAACUACUUCAAAAAAAGGGUGAAGACAGAAAAAUUCACAUGCAAGUUCUGCCAGUUUGGGCUAGCAAGAUGGCUGUGCACCCCUGACAACCUGAGCUCCGUCGUGGAACCAGUCUGGACGCAUCUUUAAAUCCCAGCACUCCUAGGAUGAGGUGGAACUGGGAGAAUCACCAGGAUGCUCGUGGGCCAGCCAGUGUGAAAUACACAGAACAGAAGAAACGACAGAGAGCCUGACUGACAAGAUAUUCUUUAACAAGUAUUACUUUUAAAAGAGGAAACCACAACCAGGAGUGUUGGCACACACUCCUGGGAGAUCUCUGUGAGUUCAAGGCCAGCCUGGUCUAGGUAGCGAGUUCCAGGAUAUCCAGAGCUACAUGGGGUGCGCUCCAUUUGUAGAGAAGGACACAUCUGUAAAAUGUCAAAUGCAAACCUUGGUGUGCAAAACCAACCAGUAUGUACACAUCAGCUCCUCGGUGCCAAGUCUUUCCAUUGCCCAGAUCACCUGGGACUUACAUGUCAGCAAGUAGGAGAAAUCAUAGGCUGAUACAGGAGAAGAGGGCCUUUUCUGUCAGACCCCAUUACAUGUUUUUUCAGGAAAGUAAAAUUCCAAGAACUUCACUGUUUCCAGACCACAUAUCUAGAUCUAGAAUUCUGUCCCUUCCCCAAGAUACCCUUUCCUCUUGAACAGCCCUAAGUGGGGAUGAAGCAGGAGUCCCUAUUUCCUACCUUUCUGGAAGGUGAAAUGUAUUCCUUGGCAUCUAAUUUCAAAUCCUGCAGCCUUCUAGUUUCCUUCUUUUGGAGGAGGCCUGGCCAGGUUAAGUCUGUGCCACGCCAGGACUUGGUUCUAGUCUCUUCCCCAAGCUGUGCUAGGCCAACUAUUCAUUUGCUCAAUAAUUAAUUAUGUGUCUGCAGCCAAAUUCUUUCCCCUGUGCACAUCACAUUAGGAAGAUGGCAGGUUUGUCUGAGGCCUCCAUCAACGAAAUACUGGAAAAAAAGAAAAAAAAAAAAAAAAAAGGAAGGAACCAAGAUCCAAGAAGACACAAAGAAAGGCACCCAAGGGACCAAAUGGCAGGCAGCAUUGUGACAUGGGUCCGGUCAUUUCUAAGGUCUGCUGCCUUGGAGCACCUCUUAAAUAAAACUUACAUUAGUCUGACCUUGCUUUGAAAUAAUCAUUUACAACCAGUUGGUCCUAACUAAUACAGAGCCUCUCUGCUCAGUGCCUACUGGACAGUCACCAAACUGAAUGUCCCCUCUAGAGAUGACACUGCACUUUGACAGGCCUCUACUGGUGCCUGGAACAGACACCGAAGCUAUGAAAUCAGAGAGAAGUCUGCUAGAGGAACAGAUAAAACCAUCAGCAUAAGCUAGCCUGCAGCUUCAGAAAGAAAAGAAGAGGUUCUCUCCCACCCAGGUCUAAGAAGAGCACCAGGAAACAAGAUCUACCCUCCCCCACUCUAAAAUCUGGACACCAGCAGGUAUCAAGGCUAUUGCUCAAGGAUGGAAGUAUAGUGUUCAAAGGUCAAAGCCCUGGGCAGAGAUUUUACCCCUUUCCCUGGACUGAUAAGACUGAUGUUCCUGGAAAUAGUGUGCUCUGUCCUCCUCACUACAGAAUUAGGCCGUAU